GACAGAGGUGCCAAGCGUUAGGCGGAGUCACUGGGCUUAAAGCGUGUGUAGGCGGAUCGUUAAGUACCUUGUGAAAUCCCACGGCUCAACCGUGGAACUGCUGGGUAUACUGGCGAUCUUGAGCCACCUAGGGGCGAGCGGAACAAACGGUGGAGCGGUGAAAUGCGUAGAUAUCGUUUGGAACGCCAACGGUGAAAACAGCUCGCUGGGGGUGUGCUGACGCUGAGACACGAAAGCCAGGGGAGCGAACGGG
This 253-nucleotide ribosomal RNA is filed under the name uncultured bacterium. RNAcentral describes it as "partial 16S ribosomal RNA". It matches the Rfam family "Bacterial small subunit ribosomal RNA", at positions 524 to 776 of the family's 1533-position model. The record is from RNAcentral.